ACUGUUCUUGUAACAGAAAGAUUUUGUCAAUUUAUCUGUCUGACUUUUUGAAGUCAGACCCAUAGGGUAAGUAGGGCUGUAAUAAACGCUGAAAUACAGGAUCAAAGGCAAGAGAAACGUGUCUCUUAAUUCUUGGGCUAUUGGACUUAUGUGGAUAUGUACCCACCAUGCACACAAGUGUGUUUGUGCAUAAUUUGAGCUCAGGAGAAGGUUGAAGGAGCAGAUGCAAGAUGAAUGGCUCUUAUAAGAACAACAAGCCCAGAACUUCUUUGUAAUUUUAAAGCGUGUCUCUCCUCUGAAGAAAUUAUUAUAGUUAUCAACCCUUCAUUACCCUAGAGAUUUAUCUAUCUAUCUAUCUAUCUAUCUAUCUAUCUAUCUAUCUAUCUAUCUAUCUAUCUAACUAUCUAUUUAUUUAUUUUGCAAGCAUUCAGAAUAAAAAAUGCCACUUCCAGUGACAUAAAUAGUGUUUUAUUUCUGCUAGCUGUCCAAAACACCACUUCAGGGAGAAACUAAGCAGGAUUCUGCUCUUUCUUUUGCCUCGUGCAGGGAAUAUCUGACUAGUUUCCCAUUAAGACUUCACUCUGUAUAGGUCUAAAAUUGGUGGAACUGCGGAGGAUCAUUUCAAAGAAUGAUUUGAUGUUUUGUACAGGUCUAAGUUGGGCCAUACAUUCUGUGAGCUAGAAGAGGGCUGGGUAGGAACCAGCAUGGAUAUAGAAGUCUGAGUGAAGCCUCUGUGACAAAGGGAGAGGAAACAAGCAAGAAGACAAGUUGGUGGAGGAACGAGGACCAGAUCCAGCUUGCUGGAUACCAGCUCCAGGUCUUUAGACCAGAGCACCAUGUGUGGGCCAUUCUUGACCCACAUACUGCUGGGUGCUGUAACUAAAUGAAUAAUAAUAAUAAUAAUAAAGUGACACAACCAUAAGAUGACCA
This 930-nucleotide long non-coding RNA is filed under the name Coturnix japonica (Japanese quail). Its description in RNAcentral is "lncRNA (ENSCJPG00005008166.1)". The record is from RNAcentral. Lineage: Eukaryota; Metazoa; Chordata; Aves; Galliformes; Phasianidae.